AACGAACGCUGGCGGCAGGCCUAACACAUGCAAGUCGAACGCCGUAGCAAUACGGAGUGGCAGACGGGUGAGUAACACGUGGGAACGUACCCUUCGGUUCGGAAUAACUCAGGGAAACUUGAGCUAAUACCGGAUACGUCCGAGAGGAGAAAGAUUUAUCACCGAGGGAUCGGCCCGCGUCUGAUUAGCUUGUUGGUGAGGUAACGGCUCACCAAGGCGACGAUCAGUAGCUGGUCNGAGAGGAUGAUCA
RNAcentral lists this ribosomal RNA (250 nucleotides) under uncultured bacterium. RNAcentral's name for it is "partial 16S ribosomal RNA". It matches the Rfam family "Bacterial small subunit ribosomal RNA", at positions 29 to 306 of the family's 1533-position model. The record is from RNAcentral.